This 433-nucleotide ribosomal RNA is filed under the name uncultured bacterium. RNAcentral's name for it is "partial 16S ribosomal RNA". It matches the Rfam family "Bacterial small subunit ribosomal RNA", at positions 29 to 507 of the family's 1533-position model. The record is from RNAcentral.
AACGAACGCUGGCGGCAUGCCUAACACAUGCAAGUCGAACGAGACCUUCGGGUCUAGUGGCGCACGGGUGCGUAACGCGUGGGAACCUGCCCUUAGGUUCGGAAUAACUCCCCGAAAGGGGUGCUAAUACCGGCUAAUGUCUUCGGACCAAAGAUUUAUCGCCUUUGGAUGGGCCCGCGUUGGAUUAGCUAGUUGGUAGGGUAAAAGCCUACCAAGGCGACGAUCCAUAGCUGGUCUGAGAGGAUGAUCAGCCGCACUGGGACUGAGACACGGCCCAGACUCCUACGGGAGGCAGCAGUGGGGAAUAUUGGACAAUGGGCGAAAGCCUGAUCCAGCAAUGCCGCGUGAGUGAUGAAGGCCUUAGGGUUGUAAAGCUCUUUUACCCGGGAUGAUAAUGACAGUACCGGGAGAAUAAGCUCCGGCUAACUCCGUG